Long non-coding RNA from Brachypodium distachyon (stiff brome), 1252 nucleotides. RefSeq lists it as uncharacterized. The record is from RefSeq and is a predicted model, not a curated record. Lineage: Eukaryota; Viridiplantae; Streptophyta; Magnoliopsida; Poales; Poaceae. The transcript is spliced from 3 exons.
AAACAGGUCUAUAAUUCUCUCGGUAAUCCAACUUUUAUCCAUUGUUAGAUGGAAGGGGCAUUUGCAGUGUCAGGUUACUCAGCAUGCAUGGCCCUUUCUUAGGGGGUUAACCUUCUAAAUGUUUCUGAUGGUCUGAACCCUCAGCUGCUGCUUUACGGCUAAGUGUUCUCCUGCAGAUGUGCUACUUUACAGUGGCUGGAAGUUCUACUCUUUGACGGUUAUAACGGCAGAAUUCACUACUCAAAAGAAACUGCAUUACCUUGUCACAUGUACAAGAACUUGUUUUUGUGAAGAUCUAUCGAAAGACCGGAUUUUAAAAGGUUACUGGAGCAACAACGGUAACAAGUCCAUUUCCGCUGUAAGCCAGGCUGCUGCUUCCAUUUUUAUACAUUAGCACAAAAGUAAUCCGUAAUCCAAUUUCAGUUAAUGCUCACUAUCAGUCCGUUAUAUUCAAAUCAUUCUUCCUGCAGAUGUUUUCCUGAGUUGAGAAAGCAUGUUCACUUAUCUUCUCUUUUUUUUCACAGCAAGACGCAUGUUCAUCUCACAUGCCUAUGUUUUGAAAAAUAACACUAGGAGAAUUGAGAAACAGGGAAAUCCCAAGUUACAAGCAUGUUCAUCUCAUCAUAGACAUCAGUGAUAGGCUUGUGGGUUAAAGAGGAGGAGUAAGCCAUAGGUUCCCCAAGAGAGGAAUCUUAGGGUGCACAUGGCAGUAAAGGGGUGAAGGUUAGUGCCAUGCCCAUAGAAAAAUUAAGCAACUUACCCAUGUGAAUAGGUGGCUAACCACUGCAAAGUAACCGAAAAGAUCAGAUGCGAGCUGGUUAAAAAUGUUUUCUUUUGAGCAAGAACAUGUACAUGUCUUUGAGUGCAAGGGACAAUGAGGAAUAAUAUACUACUAAGAUAAAAUUUGUGCAUCUUAACCCACCCUAUUGUAAUUAUUUUGACUCGGUAUAUCGAUCUGGACUUAGCAUCCUCACCACGGCUGGUAGAUUCCUGUGGGGUUUGAGUGAUUAAUAUUUGAACAUCUAACUAGGAACUUUUUCUAACAAAGUUUCACUUGUGUGGUGGAUUCAAUUACUUUCUGGUUAGAUUUGUUUGAACCAAAAUACAAUAAGUUAAAUUGAACUACCAGCCAAAUUGCAUUGAUUUGAAACAAAUUUUCAAAAAUUAAUGUUUUUUUAAUGCAAAACUUGAACUGCAAAUGGAAACUACUUAGUCAUUGUACCAAUGAACUCCAUCUCAACCCAAGUCAACA